RNAcentral lists this ribosomal RNA (731 nucleotides) under Coptocatus kinabalu. Its description in RNAcentral is "SSU rRNA". It matches the Rfam family "Eukaryotic small subunit ribosomal RNA", at positions 422 to 1079 of the family's 1831-position model. Lineage: Eukaryota; Metazoa; Arthropoda; Insecta; Hemiptera; Naucoridae. The record is from RNAcentral. RNAcentral also lists the same sequence under 1 other name.
AAGGCAGCAGGCACGCAAAUUACCCACUCCCGGCACGGGGAGGUAGUGACAAAAAAUAACGAUACGGGACUCAUCCGAGGCCCCGUAAUCGGAAUGAGUACACUUUAAAUCCUUUAACAAGGAUCCAAUGGAGGGCAAGUCUGGUGCCAGCAGCCGCGGUAAUUCCAGCUCCAUUAGCGUAUAUUAAAGUUGUUGCGGUUAAAAAGCUCGUAGUUGGUUCUGUGUCCCACGCUGUCGGUUCACCGCCUGUCGGUGCAACUGGCAUGCCGUGGGAUGUCCUGUCGGUGGCGGCCAUGACCCACGGCGGGUGUAGGGCAACCGAAGCUCGUCGCUGUGCGUCAGGUCGCCGAUUCAAUCCUGCCGCGGUGCUCUUCAUUGAGUGUCGAGGUAGGCCGACACGUUUACUUUGAACAAAUUAGAGUGCUUAAAGCAGGCUAAUAAUGCCUGGAUAUUUUUUGCAUGGAAUAAUGGAAUAAGACCUCGGUUCUAUUUUGUUGGUUUUCGGAACCCGAGGUAAUGAUCAAUAUGGACAGGCGGGGGCAUUCGUAUUGCGACGUUAGAGGUGAAAUUCUUGGAUCGUCGCAAGACGGACUAGAGCGAAAGCAUUUGCCAAGUAUGUCUUAGUUGAUCAAGAACGAAAGUUAGAGGUUCGAAGGCGAUCAGAUACCGCCCUAGUUCUAACCAUAAACGAUGCCAGCCAGCGAUCCGCCGAUGUUCCUCCGAUGACUCGG